Molecule: ribosomal RNA, 511 nt
Filed under: uncultured bacterium
Lineage: Bacteria
Description: partial 16S ribosomal RNA
Rfam family: Bacterial small subunit ribosomal RNA
Source: RNAcentral
GACGAACGCUGGCGGCGUGCCUAAUACAUGCAAGUCGAGCGAAUCAAUGGGAGCUUGCUCCCUGAGAUUAGCGGCGGACGGGUGAGUAACACGUGGGUAACCUGCCUGUAAGACUGGGAUAACUUCGGGAAGCCGGAGCUAAUACCGGAUACGUUCUUUUCUCGCACGAGGAGAGAUGGAAAGAUGGUUCUGCUAUCACUUACAGAUGGACCCGCGGCGCAUUAGCUAGUUGGGGAGGUAACGGCUCACCAAGGCGACGAUGCGUAGCCGACCUGAGAGGGUGAUCGGCCACACUGGGACUGAGACAAGGCCCAGACUCCGACGGGAGGCAGCAGUAGGGAAUCUUCCGCAAUGGACGAAAGUCUGACGGAGCAACGCCGCGUGAGCGAAGAAGGCCUUCGGGUCGUAAAGCUCUGUUGUUAGGGAAGAACAAGUACGAGAGUAACUGCUCGUACCUUGACGGUACCUAACCAGAAAGCCACGGCUAACUACGUGCCAGCCGCCGCCGUAA